AAAACCUUUAAAUUAGUCCGGAGAGACUAAUAAGGUGCACAAUAAGGACGGGCCUACUGUGCCUUAGUGACCUUUAAGCCUCUUACUCCGGUAAGAGGCUUUAUUGUGU
Thermosinus carboxydivorans Nor1 is the source of this 109-nucleotide regulatory RNA element. It matches the Rfam family "PyrR binding site". From Rfam's summary of the family: This family represents the PyrR binding site and terminator structure. This RNA structure is found upstream of a variety of genes involved in pyrimidine biosynthesis and transport. NCBI's taxonomy places the organism in Bacteria, Bacillati, Bacillota, Negativicutes, Selenomonadales, Sporomusaceae. The record is from Rfam.